RNAcentral lists this non-coding RNA (893 nucleotides) under Pan troglodytes (chimpanzee). The record is from RNAcentral. Lineage: Eukaryota; Metazoa; Chordata; Mammalia; Primates; Hominidae.
CGCGAGUUUUAUGACUUAAAAAACCCCACAGGCUGGUCUGAAGAGGAAGACAAACAUAAAGAUGAAGUGCUUAAUUCAAGGUCACACAAUGUCGGGGAUGGACCUCCAGAUUUCCUUACUGACCUGCAUUAUCUUGUGGAUACCUGAGUGAAUUCCACACCACCCAUUUUAUAGAUGAAACCACUGAGACAUGGAGCAACUGACUGAGUAGUCACUGCCCCACCCCUGCCUGGAGCCUCACACAUGACUCGUCUCCUCUCAGUGACCACAGGUUGGUUGAGGGGUUUAACAAGGCUAAGAAGGUGAGACGUGGUCUUGUAACACAGUGGUUAAGAAUGUGACUUUGGAGCCAGCCUGCUAGGGGCUGAAUUCUGACUCAGCCAUUUACUAACUGUGUGACCUUAGGGAGGAGGACCUGGUUGAUAGAAGAAUUUAUCUCGUAGUCUUAACAUCCACUGUAAUUCCAAACUUUGAGGACGAUAGAGAUCAGUGGGCUUUGACUGCCCAGCAUGCAGUCUCCAUUCUUAGGUGGGUUCCCAAGCCUGUAAAAUGUAAGCCUUAUGCUGCUGAGGGCCAUCUUGCCACCCUGAGGGAAACGCUGCCUGAGAAUGAAACCAGCAUAAGUAAAAGCUGAGCUGUGAGAUGGAGCAAGAUGAAGGCCACAUGACAUCUUUGGAGCACCUGGAUCUAACUGUGCCUUAAGCUAGUCUAACCCUGAACAUUUCAUCAUUUCAUUGACAUGAGCCCAGGUUUUCUUUUUUUUUGGAUGGAGUCUUGCUCUGUCGCCCAGGCUGGAGUGCAGUAGCUCAAUCUCGGCUCACUGCAAGCUCCACCUCCCGGGUUCACGCCAUUCUCCUGCCUUAGCCUCACAAGUAGCUGGGACAACAGGCGCC